AUUGAACGCUGGCGGCAUGCCUUACACAUGCAAGUCGAACGGCAGCACGGGAGCUUGCUCCUGGUGGCGAGUGGCGAACGGGUGAGUAAUACAUCGGAACGUACCUGAAGUGGGGGAUAACGUAGCGAAAGUUACGCUAAUACCGCAUAUUCUGUGAGCAGGAAAGAGGGGGAUCGCAAGACCUCUUGCUUUAGGAGCGGCCGAUGUCGGAUUAGCUAGUUGGUGAGGUAAAGGCUCACCAAGGCGACGAUCCGUAGCGGGUCUGAGAGGAUGAUCCGCCACACUGGGACUGAGACACGGCCCAGACUCCUACGGGAGGCAGCAGU
RNAcentral lists this ribosomal RNA (326 nucleotides) under uncultured bacterium. Its description in RNAcentral is "bacterial SSU rRNA". It matches the Rfam family "Bacterial small subunit ribosomal RNA", at positions 30 to 355 of the family's 1533-position model. The record is from RNAcentral.